RNAcentral lists this transfer RNA (71 nucleotides) under Loxodonta africana (African savanna elephant). It matches the Rfam family "tRNA". Rfam says of the family: Transfer RNA (tRNA) molecules are approximately 80 nucleotides in length. Their secondary structure includes four short double-helical elements and three loops (D, anti-codon, and T loops). Further hydrogen bonds mediate the characteristic L-shaped molecular structure. tRNAs have two regions of fundamental functional importance: the anti-codon, which is responsible for specific mRNA codon recognition, and the 3' end, to which the tRNAs corresponding amino acid is attached (by aminoacyl-tRNA synthetases). tRNAs cope with the degeneracy of the genetic code in two manners: having more than one tRNA (with a specific anti-codon) for a particular amino acid; and 'wobble' base-pairing, i.e. permitting non-standard base-pairing at the 3rd anti-codon position. Lineage: Eukaryota; Metazoa; Chordata; Mammalia; Proboscidea; Elephantidae. The record is from Rfam by way of RNAcentral.
GCAUUAGUAGUUCAGUGGUAGAAUUCUUGCCUUCCAUGUGGGAAACCUGAGUUCGGUUCCCAGCCAGUAUA